RNAcentral lists this microRNA (22 nucleotides) under Saccoglossus kowalevskii. RNAcentral's name for it is "Sko-Mir-92-o9_5p* (star (passenger))". Lineage: Eukaryota; Metazoa; Hemichordata; Enteropneusta; Harrimaniidae. The record is from RNAcentral.
AGGCCAGAAUAAGAACAAUGUU